ACGUAGGGGACGAGCGUUGUCCGGAUUUACUGGGCGUAAAGGGCGCGUAGGCGGUCAUUUAAGUCAGCUGUGAAAUGGUUUGGCUUAACCGGAUCAUGCGGUUGAAACUGGAUGACUGGAGUGCUGGAGAGGCAAGUGGAAUUCCCAGUGUAGCGGUGAAAUGCGUAGAUAUUGGGAAGAACACCGGUGGCGAAGGCGACUUGCUGGCCAGCAACUGACGCUGAGGCGCGAAAGCCAGGGGAGCAAACGG
RNAcentral lists this ribosomal RNA (250 nucleotides) under uncultured prokaryote. RNAcentral describes it as "partial 16S ribosomal RNA". It matches the Rfam family "Bacterial small subunit ribosomal RNA", at positions 525 to 775 of the family's 1533-position model. The record is from RNAcentral.